GAUGAACGCUGGCGGCGUGCCUAAUACAUGCCAGUCGAGCGAACAGACGAGGAGCUUGCUCCUCUGACGGUAGCGGCGGACGGGUGAGUAACACGUGGAUAACCUACCUAUAAGACUGGGAUAACUUCGGGAAACCGGAGCUAAUACCGGAUAAUAUAUUGAACCGCAUGGUUCAAUAGUGAAAGACGGUUUUGCUGUCACUUAUAGAUGGAUCCGCGCCGCAUUAGCUAGUUGGUAAGGUAACGGCUUACCAAGGCAACGAUGCGUAGCCGACCUGAGAGGGUGAUCGGCCACACUGGAACUGAGACACGGUCCGGACUCCUACGGGAGGCAGCAGUAGGGAAUCUUCCGCAAUGGGCGAAAGCCUGACGGAGCAACGCCGCGUGAGUGAUGAAGGUCUUCGGAUCGUAAAACUCUGUUAUUCGGGAAGAACAAAUGUGUAAGUAACUAUGCACGUCUUGACGGUACCUAAUCAGAAAGCCACGGCUAACUACGUG
Molecule: ribosomal RNA, 497 nt
Filed under: uncultured bacterium
Lineage: Bacteria
Description: partial 16S ribosomal RNA
Rfam family: Bacterial small subunit ribosomal RNA
Source: RNAcentral